Molecule: ribosomal RNA, 253 nt
Filed under: uncultured bacterium
Lineage: Bacteria
Description: partial 16S ribosomal RNA
Rfam family: Bacterial small subunit ribosomal RNA
Source: RNAcentral
UACGUGAGGGGCGAACGUUGUUCGGUGUCACUGGGCUUAAAGGGCGCGUAGGUGGCUGUGCAAGUAAGGUGUGAAAGCCCUCGGCUUACCCGGGGAAUUGCGCCUUAAACUGCAUGGCUUGAGGGAUUCAGGGGAAUGGGGAACUCCAGGUGUAGCGGUGAAAUGCGCAGAUAUCUGGGGGAAGGCCGGCGGCGAAGGCGGGUCUCUGGGCCGAUACUGACGCUGAGGAGCGAAAGCGUGGGGAGCGAACAGG